CCUACGGGUGGCAGCAGUGAGGAAUAUUGGUCAAUGGACGAGAGUCUGAACCAGCCAAGUAGCGUGAAGGAUGACUGCCCUAUGGGUUGUAAACUUCUUUUAUAUGGGAAUAAAAUGUUCCAAGUGUGGGAUUAUGUAUGUACCAUAUGAAUAAGGAUCGGCUAACUCCGUGCCAGCAGCCGCGGUAAUACGGAGGAUCCGAGCGUUAUCCGGAUUUAUUGGGUUUAAAGGGAGCGUAGGUGGAUUGUUAAGUCAGUUGUGAAAGUUUGCGGCUCAACCGUAAAAUUGCAGUUGAAACUGGCAGGCUGGAGUACAGGAGAGGUGGGCGGAAUUCGUGGUGUAGCGGUGAAAUGCUUAGAUAUCACGAAGAACACCGAUUGCGAAGGCAGCUCACUGGGCUUCAACUGACACUGAGGCUCGAAAGUGUGGGUAUCAAACAGGAUUAGAUACCCGGGUAGUC
This 460-nucleotide ribosomal RNA is filed under the name uncultured bacterium. Its description in RNAcentral is "partial 16S ribosomal RNA". It matches the Rfam family "Bacterial small subunit ribosomal RNA", at positions 338 to 795 of the family's 1533-position model. The record is from RNAcentral.